RNAcentral lists this long non-coding RNA (1612 nucleotides) under Coturnix japonica (Japanese quail). RNAcentral's name for it is "lncRNA (ENSCJPG00005000375.1)". Lineage: Eukaryota; Metazoa; Chordata; Aves; Galliformes; Phasianidae. The record is from RNAcentral.
AUGCUGCUGUGUUCUCUUAGCAGAUGUCUGCUUUGCUCUGCCAAAAGGAGAAAAUGUUCAUCCAGAUGUAGUGGGUUAGUAUGCAAGGGAAAGGAAAAAGAGAGCAAUACAAAUAUUGAAUUGCUGUACAAGAACUUCAGCUCUUCAGAAAUGAGCAGUACUGGAGACCUUCCCCUGUCAAAGGUGACAGCACAGGGGCAGUUAUUUUUUGUAAUCUUGUUAAUUUGGACAUCUUGAUGCUCCUUGAAGAGGAUGUUAUACUCAGUCUGGAUUCUGCCUACUCUGAGACACUGAAACUCAGGUGGAUGCUUUUCAGCACUGUUGAAGUGCACAUGAAGGCUGUUGGAGAGCUGCGGAGCACGUUUUCCUGACUUCAUGGAGGUACAGCUCAUUCACAGGAGCCAGCUAUUGACAUCUCUUUUAACUACUGUGUAUGUUGAUAUUUUAUAGCCGUAGAGUUGUGCUGCAAGGUCUGGCAGUACUGCAGGAGCACUAUCCACCACAGAUACAGGUACCUUGAAUGCAGGAUAAAGCUUCAGCUCUAUAUUUUUAACAAUGAAACAAUCUUUCCUUGCUUUCCUUGCCUGAAAGCCACUCCAACAAGCCAAAUUACCCACACUGGUGGCUUCCUUGAAUGCAGUUCUUCCCACGUGAUAAAUGCAGAAAGCUGUGCUAAACCUGGUCUGGAGGCAUCCUGGAAUGUUUCAAACAGCUCAGUACUGAAGGGUUUUGUUAUGGUGUGUUACAGAAUGACAGUAACCGGACUGAUUUGCUAAAAUGGCUAGUUUGCCAUUUAUAGCACAGGACUGAACCUGAAGUCAUCUAACUAUUGACUGUAACCACAGCUUAGUGGGAUUUUUGGCGUGAUUCAUCUCUCCUAAGUUUAGCUGCCUAAAUAGUAGGCAUCUCAUCUGAACCAGUCAUCUAGCUUAGCCUCAAAAUUAAUCAUCAGAGAUAAGCAGCUCAAUGGGUCAGUCUGACCUGUGUUAGGGAGGGUUCUAGCAGCAACAGGCAGGUAAGUCAGCUCAGGAAAAAACUGUUUUUUGCUGGUUUUUUUGUUUUGUUUUAGUUUUAACUUUCACCCAAUUCACUGACUUCUGGCAACAAGGCAAGAGAAGGCCCAUCCUUUGCUGUGUUUUCAAGAAACAUCUUUUAAGCUUCAGCUAUCAGUAUCUUUCCUUGUGAUUGUAGAAAAAGUUGUUUGAAGCACCAAACUGAGUUUUCUUGCUGUUAUUUUUUUAUUUCUUAUUGUUUCUUCUGUGAAUUAGAAUAAUUUCCAUGGUUGCAUGAAAACUUGGAAAGAGAUGUUCUGUAUUCUUUAUUUUAACAGGACUUUCCAGUAAUCGAUAGCUGAACUCAAGCUACGUGUUUCAGUGCUUUCUCCUUUAAAACAUAGAUCAAACAGUGCUGUGAACCCAUACAUCUUCCCUGUCAAACAUUUAAUUUAUUGUGCUGUUCAUUUGUAACUUGAGACUGGAGAACUAUUGGUUGACAAAAGAGGAUGGAUGGCUUUUUUAUUGAGUCCUUACACAGCUGGCAGAAGAUAGCAAAUGGAGGAAGGAAAUGUGAAAUACUCGUUUCCAAAUUUCUAAUAAAUCGUGGGUGGAUCGCA